AACGCACCUUGCGCUCCUUGGUAUUCCGAGGAGCAUGCCUGUUUGAGUGUCAUUAAAUUCUCAACUUUGAAAGGGGAGACUUUUUUCAAAGCUUGGAUGUGGAGCUUGUGCUGGCUUUCUGAAAGUCGGCUGCUCUUUAAAUACAUUAGCAAAAUCUUUCUAAGCUCUGGUUUGAUAAUUAAUCGACGCCUUUGCUGUGAUCAAGAGGUUUGCUUCUAACGGUCCGAUUUAUUGGACAGCUUUUGACUAAGCUCAUUGACGAUUUGACCUCAAAUCAGGUAGGAUUACCCGCUGAACUUAA
RNAcentral lists this ribosomal RNA (301 nucleotides) under uncultured fungus. RNAcentral describes it as "eukaryotic LSU rRNA". The stretch from base 1 to 52 matches the Rfam family "5.8S ribosomal RNA", at positions 103 to 154 of the family's 154-position model. The record is from RNAcentral. Lineage: Eukaryota; Fungi.